Molecule: ribosomal RNA, 253 nt
Filed under: uncultured bacterium
Lineage: Bacteria
Description: partial 16S ribosomal RNA
Rfam family: Bacterial small subunit ribosomal RNA
Source: RNAcentral
UACGUAGGGGGCAAGCGUUGUCCGGAUUCAUUGGGCGUAAAGAGCGUGUAGGCGGCCUGGAAGGUCAGCUGUGAAAACUCGAGGCUCAACCUCGAGACGUCGGUUGAAACCACCUGGCUAGAGUCCGGAAGAGGAGAGUGGAAUUCCUGGUGUAGCGGUGAAAUGCGCAGAUAUCAGGAGGAACACCCGUGGCGAAAGCGGCUCUCUGGGACGGUACUGACGCUGAGACGCGAAAGCGUGGGGAGCAAACAGG